Molecule: ribosomal RNA, 467 nt
Filed under: uncultured bacterium
Lineage: Bacteria
Description: partial 16S ribosomal RNA
Rfam family: Bacterial small subunit ribosomal RNA
Source: RNAcentral
GACGAACGCUGGCGGCGUGCUUAACACAUGCCAGUCGAACGGAAAGGCCCUGCUUUUGUGGGGUGCUCGAGUGGCGAACGGGUGAGUAACACGUGAGUAACCUGCCCUUGACUUUGGGAUAACUUCAGGAAACUGGGGCUAAUACCGGAUAGGAGCUCCUGCUGCAUGGUGGGGGUUGGAAAGUUUCGGCGGUUGGGGAUGGACUCGCGGCUUAUCAGCUUGUUGGUGGGGUAGUGGCUUACCAAGGCUUUGACGGGUAGCCGGCCUGAGAGGGUGACCGGCCACAUUGGGACUGAGAUACGGCCCAGACUCCUACGGGAGGCAGCAGUGGGGAAUAUUGCACAAUGGGCGGAAGCCUGAUGCAGCAACGCCGCGUGCGGGAUGACGGCCUUCGGGUUGGAAACCGCUUUCGCCUGUGACGAAGCGUGAGUGACGGUAAUGGGGAAAGAAGCACCGGCUAACUACGU